This 207-nucleotide ribosomal RNA is filed under the name uncultured bacterium. RNAcentral's name for it is "partial 16S ribosomal RNA". It matches the Rfam family "Bacterial small subunit ribosomal RNA", at positions 568 to 774 of the family's 1533-position model. The record is from RNAcentral.
CUCGUAGGCGGUUCGUCGCGUCCGGUGUGAAAGUCCAUCGCUUAACGGUGGAUCCGCGCCGGGUACGGGAGGGCUUGAGUGCGGUAGGGGAGACUGGAAUUCCCGGUGUAACGGUGGAAUGUAUAGAUAUCGGGAAGAACACCAAUGGCGAAGGCAGGUCUCUGGGCCGUUACUGACGCUGAGGAGCGAAAGCGUGGGGAGCGAACA